RNAcentral lists this ribosomal RNA (607 nucleotides) under uncultured bacterium. RNAcentral describes it as "bacterial SSU rRNA". It matches the Rfam family "Bacterial small subunit ribosomal RNA", at positions 214 to 819 of the family's 1533-position model. The record is from RNAcentral.
UCCGGUGACGGAUGGGCAUGCGUGACAUUAGCUAGUCGGCGGGGUAACGGCCCACCGAGGCGACGAUGUCUAGGGGUUCUGAGAGGAAGGUCCCCACACUGGUACUGAGACACGGACCAGACUCAUACGGGAGGCAGCAGUGAGGAAUAUUGGUCAAUGGGCUUACGCCUGAACCAGCCAAGUCGCGUGAGGGAAGACUGCCCUAUGGGUUAUAAACCUCUUUUGUCAGGGAGCAACGCCGGCUACGUGUAGCCGGACUGAGAGUACCUGAAGAAAAAGCAUCGGCUAACUCCGUGCCAGCAGCCGCGGUAAUACGGAGGAUGCGAGCGUUAUCCGGAUUUAUUGGGUUUAAAGGGUGCGUAGGCGGAAUGCCAAGUCAGCGGUAAAAUCGCGGGGCUCAACCUCGCUCCGCAUUUGAAACUGUUGAUCUUGAGUACUGGAGAGGCAGACGGAAUUCCUAGUGUAGCGGUGAAAUGCGUAGAUAUUAGGAGGAACACCAGUGGCGAAGGCGGUCUGCUGGACAGCAACUGACGGUGAGGCGCGAAAGCGUGGGGAGCAAACAGGAUUAGAUACCCUGGUAGUCCACGCUGUAAACGAUGGAUACUAG